Molecule: long non-coding RNA, 1077 nt
Organism: Helianthus annuus (common sunflower)
Lineage: Eukaryota; Viridiplantae; Streptophyta; Magnoliopsida; Asterales; Asteraceae
Exons: 3
Source: RefSeq, a predicted model, not a curated record
CAUAAAGCCAAAAAUGGUGAGUUUCUUGUGACAUGAAAGUUUCUCCAAAUGGGUCAAAACAUCACAAAAUGACACUUAUUUAUGCUAUUAACUAUUCUUUUCAUUAUUUAGAGGUUGUUGUCUAAUGAAUGACAUGAAGGAACCCUUAUCCCUAUCAUAGUUUUUUCGACAAUUAUAAUUGUCGGCCAAGGGAUGGAAGGGCAGAGUCCUUUGGUAUCCCCCCCAGUCAAGAAUUGUUUGUCAUCAACAAAUUAACAAACAAAUACUCAAAUAAAACCAACCAUACAUGCAUCAAGUUCAUUCAGUUAAAACUGACAUAAGACCACCACACAUGAAAUCCAACAACUCAAAAAGAAACUUAAACUCAAUUAAGAAGCUCUAGACUGUGAAUUAAAAGGAAUGUGCUAAGCAAAACUACCUAAAUAGCAAAUUAAAGGUCCUGCAACUUUAAAGUCCUCUACACAACUUGAAAUCCUAGAGGAUUUCCGAUUGUUGUCAUCUGAGAAAAAGGUGAAAGAAAGCACUUAAAGAUUCGAUUCGGAGGAAAUAUUAGGUUGAUUGAAGAAGAUGAUUGGAGAUUGGAGAUCGGAGAAGUUGAUCGGAGAAGAUGAUCGGAGAUCGGAGAAGAUGUUUGGAGAUCGGAGAAGAUGAUCGGAGAUCGGAGAAGAUGUUCAGAGAUCGGAGAAGAUGAUCGGAGAUCGGAGAAGAUUGAAUCGAAAAGAUGAAAGAUUGGCCGGAAAGAUAACUGUUUCGCCGGAAAAUAACAAGCAUAGUGAUAGUCUAUAUAUAUACAAAUGAGGAAUAACCAACUAACAAACAAUCCUCAACAAACUAACUAACACUAUACAUACAACUCUACCAGUAUACUCUAAUAUAUAGCAAAAGAGCAAAAACGUUAGCAAGUCACAUUGAAGCUGAGAGGGAAAAAAUGAGGGGUCAAAUUAGUAAACAAUUGAGAGGGAUGAAAUGUGUAAAAGGCACCGACUUUGUGCUUUAAAUUAGAUAAUAAUUUGUAAAACUGAUAUAAUGAGGUAUGGAAGUUAACUCACUUUCAGAGUGUGUGCUUUUUCAUCAUAU